Molecule: ribosomal RNA, 468 nt
Filed under: uncultured bacterium
Lineage: Bacteria
Description: partial 16S ribosomal RNA
Rfam family: Bacterial small subunit ribosomal RNA
Source: RNAcentral
GACGAACGCUGGCGGCGUGCUUAACACAUGCAAGUCGAACGGAAAGGCCCUGCUUUUGUGGGGUGCUCGAGUGGCGAACGGGUGAGUAACACGUGAGUAACCUGCCCUUGACUUUGGGAUAACUUCAGGAAACUGGGGCUAAUACCGGAUAGGAGCUCCUGCUGCAUGGUGGGGGUUGGAAAGUUUCGGCGGGUGGGGAUGGACGCGCGGCUUAUCAGCUUGUUGGUGGGGUAGUGGCUUACCAAGGCUUUGACGGGUAGCCGGCCUGAGAGGGUGACCGGCCACAUUGGGACUAAGAUACGGAGCAGACUCCUACGGGAGACAGCAGUGGGGAAUAUUGCACAAUGGGCGGAAGCCUGAUGCAGCAACGCCGCGUGCGGGAUGACGGCCUUCGGGUUGUAAAAAGCUUUCGCCUGUGACGAAGCGUGAGUGACGGUAAUGGGUAAAGAAGCACCGGCUAACUACGUG